Molecule: long non-coding RNA, 916 nt
Organism: Salvia miltiorrhiza (redroot sage)
Lineage: Eukaryota; Viridiplantae; Streptophyta; Magnoliopsida; Lamiales; Lamiaceae
Exons: 3
Source: RefSeq, a predicted model, not a curated record
GUCGAAAUUGGGAUUUAUUUAAAUAAACAGUACAAGCAAAUAUGAGCACGCGAUCCACUUUACAGUUAUAGAAUCACCGAGACAGAGAAAAUACAUCAAUAAUUCUCCUCUACAUUUUUUUUUUUUCCUUUCUUUUUCUUCUCUUUUUCUUUCCAUUAAAUUUGUCCCCCAACUUUUCCCCACCACGCAAUUAUGCAACUAAAUCAAGCUAAUUCAAUAACUCUCCCACUUAACUCACAUCUCCCUCUAUUUGCACAACUCCAGCCAAGAAACAAAACAUUCCCUAUCAUUUUCACCGUGAGUCCUCUUCAAAGAGCAGGAAGUCUCCAUUUCGUCCAGCCAAAUUCUUAAGGUAAGCUUUGCUAUAAUCUUCCAUUUUCUUCCAUUAUCCGCCUGCAAUCAGCCUGCAAUCACUGAGACAACAACACAAAUUUAUUUCAGUUCCAGUUCAUUCACCACACCACAACCGAAAAGUGAGAGAAAUCACUCAUUCACUCCCUGCCAGAAUCAAUAAGUUCAGUCAUUCCAAUUCAUUCAACUCCAACAGCCAUCAAUCAGUUCGAUCAUAUUCAAGGUCAAGGGCGAGAUUGACAAUCUGUUGAGGAGCUUUUGUAUCACAGAAAAUCACUAUCAGGUUGAGCAGCUGCCGAUGUUGAUGAAGUGAUGAGCGGGAUUCUUUUGUCUUUUUAUGUAUUAAAGAACUCUAGGGUUACAUGUCUUCAUACAUGUAAUCAGAAUCAUAAUCCGCUGCGUACUCAGAAGUUUUAUGCUUAUUUGGCUAAGUCAGAAAUAUCUGAACUUAUUAGUUAUCUGAGUCUAUACGACUAAACUUCUGUUAUAUUAUAAAUAUUCCUUUUGUUAAAUGAUGAAAUGUGAUCCUUCUUUGUUUAAUUAUCCCCUUUCUACCCCGCUUCUA